GAUGAAGAACGCAGCGAAAUGCGAUAAGUAAUGCGAAUUGCAGAAUUCAGUGAAUCAUCGAAUCUUUGAACGCACAUUGCGCCCGCUGGUAUUCCGGCGGGCAUGCCUGUUCGAGCGUCAUUUCAACCCUCAAGCCCCCGGGUUUGGUGUUGGGGAUCGGCUCUGCCCUUCUGGGCGGUGCCGCCCCCGAAAUACAUUGGCGGUCUCGCUGCAGCCUCCAUUGCGUAGUAGCUAACACCUCGCAACUGGAACGCGGCGCGGCCAUGCCGUAAAACCCCAACUUCUGAAUGUUGACCUCGGAUCAGGUAGGAAUACCCGCUGAACUUAAGCAUAUCAAUAAGCGGAGGA
This 348-nucleotide unclassified non-coding RNA is filed under the name soil metagenome. RNAcentral describes it as "partial contains 5.8S ribosomal RNA, internal transcribed spacer 2, and large subunit ribosomal RNA". The stretch from base 1 to 120 matches the Rfam family "5.8S ribosomal RNA", at positions 35 to 154 of the family's 154-position model. The record is from RNAcentral.